CUUCUUCUUCUUUAAGCAUGUCUAGUUGUUUAUUUCAGUUUUGCAAAGAUGAGGACUCAAGACAGAGUAGGGGAAAGCUCAUCUAGAGGAGCAGAUGGUUAGUCGAGAGGUUUUGUUCUCUUCGUUACCAUCAAUUUCAAUCCUUCUGUGGUGUGUAUCCUAUAGUCACUUUCACCUGUCCAUCCACAAAACAAAUAAAGAACUAUCCGUUAAUGAUUUUUUUUGGUUUGCAUGUGAAGACUUAUCUUAAUUCACUUUUGAAAUCAUUGAUCUGUAUUGAGAGAAAAUAGGAAUGGUGGUAGCUGAUAAGACUAUACCGGAGGGAGCUCCUGGUGCAGUCUGAAAGUUAAAUCUUCGAAUAAGCAUUGCAAUUGCCACCACCACAUUCUACAAAACAGAGAUUUAUGUUACUAUAAGACAUCUGAAGCAGGUACUCUCAUAUGUAACAAGUAUUGAUUGGUGUCAAUUGUGUCUUUACCUCAAAAGAAGCAAACGUGUCGCCUAUGCAUUUCCCCGGCCCUCCACCAAACGGCAAGUAACUGGAAAAGCAAAGUUUACCGAUAUAAUCAUCUCUAAUGAAUCUGAGAAGUUGUAAGCAAAAGAUGGGCUUAUUAGAAACAUUUAGAAAGAGAACUAAAUGUUUGUAACUAUAUAAUUUUAAGUUUGUCUAAUAUAGAAAACAUAUUGCCAAAAAGGGAUUAGGUUUAGGUUUGCGCGGAAAAUCAAUUAGAACGACACAUUUGAUAAAUUUCAGAUCACAAUUCCAUUUAGAAUGCCACAUUUGGUGAAUUAAAACACUGCAUUUGAUAUUUAUUUUAAAAUAUUUUGCAUUCUAGAAAGCAUAUACAGUGAAACCUCUAUAAAUUAAUAAUGUUACUACACCAAAACUAUAUUUUUUAUAUUAAUUUAUAGAAAUGUUAAUUUAUCGAUAUACUAAUUGAACCAAAAACUCAAUUUGGGACUAUAAAAUUAUAUUAUUUUAAGAAAUUUUUAGUGUAUAUUAAUUUAUAAAGUAUUAAUUUAAAGAGGUUAUACUGUAUAUUGUAACCUAAUAAUGGAUAUUGCAGUAUCUUUGACAAUAAUGAUGAAAUACACAAUAAAAUUUUAUGAUAUAUUGUUUGCCUAUAAGGUAACAUGUUCACUACUAUUAAUUUUGAAUCAUAACUAACCAUAAGCAUUCGUUGUCAAAAAAAAAACUAACCAUAAGUAUUCUUUAUAGUUAGUAGCUAACCAUUUUUCAAUGUUAGUCAACAAAGAUAAUACGUGAGAAAUCAAUUUUCAAAUACAAAAUAAAUACAAUUACAUUAGUCAUUUAUAAUAACAUUUUCAUAUAACAAACAUAUAUGCAUUGACCCAUUAUAUAAUAUACAUAUAGUUGUGUUUAAUAUAUUAAAACUAAAGAUGACAAAAAUAUAAAACUAAUAUCUUAUAUAUAUCAUUAUAAUUAUAAUUAUGAUCUAUGAUAAAACCUGUGUAAGUAUGUUAGCCACAUAUUAUAUGUUUAGUAUAUAUACCAAUUUUGAUUAUAUAUUUACUAUUCUUUCCAUAGUUUUAGUAUUAAUAUAAGAUAGGAUCGAAUAUAACAAUUUUUUUUUGAGAAAUUCGAAUAUAACAAAUUGUUUACUACAUACUACAUUAUCUAUUGAUAAAUACAAAUGUAUAUGUUUGCGUUAACAAAUGAUUUUAUAAUUAAUAUAAUAUAUUUUGUAAAGUAGUAUAUCAAAAGGAUGUGACAUACGUUAGAUAGUGGUUUUAAUUUUUAUUUGCUUGAACUUUUUUAAACCAACAAAAUUAACUAAUACUCUUUAAAAUAUUUAUAACGUUGUAUAUGUUAAAAAUUCGCCAUUAAACUUUUCUAGGGGAAUUAAAAUUAGAUUAAGGCCUGUCCAAAGUCUUUCUAAGGAUGUCACAUCAGCAAUGAAAAGAUGUUUGGAGAUGAUAUCUAAGCAAGUUCAUUUUGCAAUUAAUACAAAAUUGAAGUUACAACAUUUUAAAAGAUCUUACAAAUAAUAUACAGAGGAUUUUAUAUGACUAUUAUUUUAACAUUUUAAUAAUAUAAAUUAGAUUUUGAUCCGCACAUGUUUGUUUUGAAAAUUAAAUAAAUGUUUAUGAAAUGAAUUUAUAUAUAACAUAUUGUAUAGGUUUAGGCACAUUUAUCUGAAACUAAGAACUGAACUGUACCGAACUGAAACAAUCAAAAACAAAAUUAAAUUAAAUUUCAUAAAUAAUCGAACAAAUCAUAUAUCUAAGGAACCGAAAAAUUAAAGCUGAACUGAGAACCAAAUGGAUACCUAAAAUUUAAAAAUACAAAGUAUAUACUUACAAAUAUUCAUUAUAUUUAAUUUUAAAAUAACUAAAUAUCAUAAAAAAAUACUAUUUAUGAACCGAAUUACCGGAAAAAAUAAAAUUACCCAAAUAUUGUUUAUUCAAAAUAUUAAAAUUAUCCGAACUGUCCAAUAUUUUUGUCCAAACAAUCCACCCUAUAUCUAAAUUAAAAAAGCCAAAUUGUCCGAUAUUUUUAUCUAUAAAUCUUUAAUUACCUGUAAAUCGAUGGGUGAUCCGAUAUGCAAUUCAAAUCGAAUUAAGUUGUUAUAUUUAGAUUAUUCUAAUAUAUAUUCAUAGAUUUUUAGAUGAGUAGUGGAGAUAUUUUGGACGUGAUGCUCCAAUUUUUCAAAAGUUAACUAUACAAAUUUUUAAUAAAACUAUUUUUUCAUCUAGUUGUAAGAGUAGUGAAUCAAUAUUCGAAAGGAUGCAUACUAAAAGAAAAAUAGAUUUGAGCAUCAAUUAUUCAUAUAUGUCUAUUACAAUUUACAUUUGCAAAAAAAAAUAUAAUUGUUUGUUUAUUUGUUUAGUUUGUUUUUGUUGUUGACAUGUUAUUAGAAUCCUUUUGAUGUUUUGUUUUUGGUUUAUUUUAAAUUUAAUUUUAUCAUUCACAUUAAACAUUUAAAUAUUUUUAAUUUUAGUUUUCUUAUAUUAUUUUAUUAUAUAUCUACUUCAUAAUUUGUUACAAUUUGGUAUGUAUAAUUGUAUUCUAAAACUAAUUAAAAUAUUGAUCCGCGGUCGAUUCAGUGAUCCAAUAAUUCAUAAAAUAAUCUGGUUCAGUGUCUUGAUAGGGCUUCACUGGUUUUAGAUCAAAGCCAUCAGAGCUUCUCCAUGCAAUCGGUAUGAAAGUAUAUGAUACACUCUUGCGUGAAAUCAAGCUGAAUCCCAUCUUUACAUUUAAGAAAACAAUUAGGUGGACGAUGGCAGCACACAUGUGCACGCAGUAAUAUAAUUUUUAGUUUUGAUGAUUAUAACAUUUGUGGUUCAACAUUUUUGAUUCUUUCUAAACAUUAUUUAUUUUUCAACCAUUAUAGAUUGAUGUUUAAAUUUAUAUCUUAUAUAGGUAUGCAAUAAUAAUUCAAGCAUAUGUAGUAUCCAGAAAUUGAUAAACUUUAUAUGAAAAUACAACAUUUGAAGUCCGGUUUACAAGUAUUGAUUUCGUAAGGUAACAAGAAAAAACUAGGAAAAACCAAAAAAAUAUUCGGGUAGAAGAAGUUUGCAUUCAUAUACCGAGAAUGGUUCGGAUCUGAUCCGGUGGAUGUCGAGCGAGGGAUUUCGGAUCUGGAUACCCGUUUUGUUGAUCCGUUACGGCUCGGUAUAUAACUUCAUAAUCUUCAGCUAACGUUUUGGCCACCCGCACGCAAGCUUCGGACCUGAGUUUAGGGACUUGUAUCUGCUCGAACUCAGGAAGAGAGCCUUCGCUUCCCAAAACGAGGCCGAAGAAGGCCUUGAGGCAUUCCGACAGCACUGCGGGUGACGUCUCCUGUCGUCCAGACAAAGCAACUUCGGUUGUGGUGUAAGAGCGGAAGAUUUGCAUUUUGUCUGAAAGACCGCAUCUUUGGAGGAGCGUGUCGACUUCUUUCUGGACCAGGAGGUUUAUGUGGUUCUCGAUCAUUGAUCCGAUGUUAGUUACGUACUGUGACGCCACAUCGUGUCUUAGCAACGGUUGUUGGAUGGCGCAUAAACAGUUGAUGAGGAAUAUCUUCGAGGGUGUUUCAUUGUUCUGUAAGAACGAGAUAAAUCUUGAGAGAGGUCUUUUCGAGUUAAAAGGAAUGUAACGGAUUAUAUAUAUACCUGUGGUGGGGACGAGCUGCUAGAGAGUAGAGCAUCUACUGAUGUUAACUGGCUUGAGUCGGAACUUGUUCGGCUUCGUCUGGUUAAUUGGCCGCUCAUUUUCGAUUUGUGCGCCUCUGCUGCUUGCUCACACAUCUGUGGAGUUUCAGAAAAGUUCAAGAAUUUAACUUCAAAGCAGAAUCAUGGCUUUUGAUGGACAAUGAUUUAUACCUUAAUGAUAGGGUCGAGCAGUGCAGAGAGGACAGGAUCAAAUGCCGGUUUCUCUCCUGAAGCGGAAACCAUCAUGCUGUUGUAGUUCUCGAUUAUCUCAAGAGUUAGAGAAACUCCUUCUCGGACAGCUGGAGGCGGAGAGAGAUCAAUCGCUACCGGUGGAGGGUAUCGUAGAAGCUUCUCCCCUCGGGUUUUAAGAAUGUCGAAGAAGGUUUUCUGUGCAGCAUCCUUAACCAUCCCAAUUGUAUUACAGAGAGCAGUGUCUCGGCCGAGUAAGUCUGAGAUCUGCAAGGUGAAGGGAACAACGCGAACUUUAGACUGCAUGAAAUAGAUAGUUAACUCCAUUCUUUGGUUACUAGAAGGCUUUGACACUUGAUAUGCUUUGCAAGUUACAUUUAUUCCAUUAAAUGGGUAUUACUAUAACUAAUUUAACGACUAUGAUUCUUGCCUCUUAGGUGUACUUAUUCUUUUAGUGCUAAGUGCUAACUAACUUUUUUUCUUUUGUAUUGUAUCAGGUUGACCUGCGAAGAGCAAAUAACUGUGAAAUAAUGCUUACGAAAAUAAAGAUUCCUCUACCAGAUAUGCUUGUAAGUUUUUGCUGUCAGUAUAUCCUCCGCUCAUUAUUUUAGCAUUGGAACAAUAAUGUAAGGUGGAUGUUUAGAGUUAACAUGUCUUUUUGUAACAUUUUACCUAGUUGAAUCUCUUUUAUAUCAUGUUUACGUGUAUACUAACCGAGAAUUUCAUAUCUAUUUCUUAUCUUAGAGCGCAGUUCUAGCCUUAGAUUCGUCAGUUCUGGACAUCGACCAGGUUGAAAAUCUCAUCAAAUUUUGUCCGACGAAGGAAGAAAUGGAAUUGUUGAGGGUAAAUCUUAAAGUUUAUUGUCAUACUUCUCUGUAGAGUACCAGGUUCAUAGGUUCUGUUUGGCUUCAAAACGCAAGUUUCUUUCAGCAAUUCCUUAAUGCCUAAAGUUAACUUGUUCUGUUUUUGUCUUCAGAAUUAUACCGGUGACAAAGAAAUGCUUGGAAAGUGUGAACAGGUUUGUUCCAGUUCUUGGAGCGUUGGAUGGUUACAUGUUUAUAAUCUGUGUUCUGACUCUUAACUUUGCAAAAUGUAUCAGUUUUUCAUGGAACUAAUGAAGGUUCCACGUAUAGAAGCAAAGUUACGAGUGUUUGGCUUUAAGAUUACCUUUGCUUCUCAGGUAUAACUAUUAAAACUUUCUGCAUUUGGUCUCUCCUGUCUUAGGCAUGUUGUGGUGAUCUUAUUUUUUUGCUCUUUUCAGGCGGAAGACUUAAAAAGCUGCCUGAAUACAAUAAACGAUGCUACUAAAGAGGUAUAGUGGAGAGUGAGAGCUUCUAAGUCAUGGAAAUAUAUCCCCAUCUUGAUAAUUAAGUAUUAUUAUUAUCAUGCAACAGGUGAAGGAGUCUGCAAAGUUGCGUCAGAUUAUGCAAACAAUUUUAACACUAGGAAAUGCUCUGAAUCAGGGAACUGCAAGAGGUUUUACCUUUAUAUUCCUAUUGAUUUCAAGUUUUUUUUAAAUGAUUUUUCUUGUAGCAUCUGUUGGUAAUGUAGUGUGCCUUUUGUGUUGCAGGGUCUGCUGUGGGUUUCAAACUGGAUAGUCUUCUUAAAUUAUCUGAUACUCGUGCAAGAAAUAACAAAAUGACUUUGAUGCAUUACUUAUGCAAGGUAGAAGCACAUACCUUUCUUAUCUCAAUAAUACUUUUUAUUCAGUUAGUUUUUUUUUUAAAGAUGAACUUAGGUAAAUUUUCUUUUUUACUGUUUAGCUUGUUGGUGAAAAAAUGCCAGAGUUGCUGGAUUUUCCCAGUGACCUUGCUCACUUGGAAGCUGCAUCGAAGGUACCCUUGUUAUUCAUGCUUGCAUAUGAGCUUUCCGUCUUCAUAAUGCACUUGCCUUAAUAGUUUCUAAAAAUUGCAGAUUGAUUUCAAAACGUUGGCUGAAGAAAUGCAGGCGGCAGCUAAAGGCCUUGAAAAGGUUGAUCACGAACUCAUGGCUUCAGGAAACGAUGGUGCAAUAUCUCUGGGCUUCCGAAAGGUGAGCUACAUGUUAAAAGUUGUUCUUAGUGUUGCUCAUAUGGGUUUCUUGGUUAAUUCAUAGGCUGUGAUAAGAACCAGAAGGUAUUCGUAGCUUCUAAAUGAGAUCACUUCAUGUUUUCAGGUUUUGAAGGAGUUUCUUGCUACCGCUGAAGCAGAAGUGAGGUUGCUUGCUUCCUUAUAUACAGAAUCGGUGAGUUACUUGUACUCUUUGAGGACAUGCAGUUCGAAACUCAUGUUCCAGUCCUAAUAUUGAUUUGUUAUUUUGCAGGGAAGAAAUGCAGAUUCCUUGUGCCACUACUUUGGUGAGGAUCCAAAUAGAUGUCCUUUCGAACAAGGUACAUGCACCAAGUCUAUUCUUAUAGAUUGGUUAAAGCCAUUAUGUGUUAAAUGCAACUACUCAUUUCUAUUCUGACCAUUGUUCCUAUCUGCAGUGACCAAGAUUCUGGCUCUUUUCAUGAAAACUUUCAUCAAAUCACGAGAGGAGAAUGAGAAACAAGCGGAGGCUGACAAGAAGAAGCUGGAGAAAGAUACAAUGAAGGAGAAGCCAAUGUUAAAGAAAGACGGUGCUGAUCCAUAGACAUAGAACGUGAACAGAGGUCGGUCUUUAAAGAAAGACCGGAGUGUUUCAGAUCGAUGAAAGCUUUGUUUUAUAGUACACAAUGUUGCACAUAACAAUCAAGAAGCAGAGAUCUUUCGUAGAUCGUAGAAAAAGUAGACAGCUUCUAUGAUGUUUAUAUGGAAGUGUAAACUCUCUUUGAUCAUCACUUCGUUGAUGUAAAAUCAGAGGUUCUUGUCAAUGUUGUAGAAGAUAUUUGAAUUUUUAUAGAACCCACUCAAAGUUAUUAUCUUUAACUGUGCAGAUAAAAACAAUUUCUGUUCAGAGAGUAAUAAAUUUUUACAUUCUACUUGUCUGCAUAAACAUAAUGCAGAGAAAUAAUCAGAAGCAGUGACCUUGUUCCAACAAAUUCUACAUCAUUUGUUCUAACACAAGAUUUUUGCUUCUUCUUCUUUAAGCAUGUCUAGUUGUUUAUUUCAGUUUUGCAAAGAUGAGGACUCAAGACAGAGUAGGGGAAAGCUCAUCUAGAGGAGCAGAUGGUUAGUCGAGAGGUUUUGUUCUCUUCGUUACCAUCAAUUUCAAUCCUUCUGUGUUGUGUAUCCUAUUAGUCAUUUUCACCUGUCCAUCCACAAAACAAAUAAAGAACUAUUCGUUGAUGAUUUUUUUGGUUUGCAUGUGAAGUCUUAUCUUAAUUCAGUUUUGAAAUCAUUGAUCUGUAUUGAGAGAAAAUAGGAAUGGUGGUAGCUGAUAAGACUACCGA
RNAcentral lists this long non-coding RNA (7693 nucleotides) under Brassica napus (rape). Its description in RNAcentral is "long non-coding RNA (BNAP_LNC007974)". Lineage: Eukaryota; Viridiplantae; Streptophyta; Magnoliopsida; Brassicales; Brassicaceae. The record is from RNAcentral.